This is an RNA transcript of Abrus precatorius (Indian licorice), 3713 nucleotides long. It is a transcript of the gene named protein RRC1-like, with no coding region annotated. The transcript has 18 exons. Lineage: Eukaryota; Viridiplantae; Streptophyta; Magnoliopsida; Fabales; Fabaceae. The record is from RefSeq and is a predicted model, not a curated record.
AAACAAGGCAAUACCAAUACCCUUCCCUGUGGUCGCGUGCCCUUUUAUAUCAUCAGAGUUACUGCGCAUCGAACAAGUAGGGAACAGCAAACCCAUAUUCAGGUCAAGUGAAGUGCUCGUUUUGUCACUCUGCUCAAUUGGGAAGAAGGGCACGCAUUAUUCGCCGUUGGAUUCAACUUGUUGCUGCUCCUCACUCACUCAUUUUUUCCGAAGGCUUUCUUUGCUGAUGCAGGGAUGAGUUCAUUCUCCAUCACGCGGAAAAAGACUCCAUUCCAGAAACACAGAGAAGAGGAGGAGGCAAAGAAGAAAAGAGCGGAAGAUGAGACUGCUCGCCUGUAUGCUGAGUUUGUAGAGUCAUUUCAAGGUGAUAGUACUCCUGGGUCAAAGGCUUUUGUUCGAGGAGGAACAAUUAAUCCCAAUGAUAAAUUUAAAGAUGAUUCUGAGGGUGAAAAGUCCAAAGAUGGGGUAUCUGGUCCAAAGAAGGGAAGUAGGUAUGUACCAUCUUUUAUUCCUCCUCCAAUGGCAACCAAGGGGAAAGAACCGGAAAGGAAAAAAGAGGAGGAAAAGCCAAAGGAGAAAGAGAAAGGAAAAUCAAGAAACAUUGAUCAUUUUAUGGAGGAGCUAAAGCAUGAACAAGAGAUGAGGGAAAGGCGAAAUCAAGAACGUGAACAUUGGCGUGAUGGGCGUCAUGGAGAACAUUCUAUGUCUAGUCGCUUUGAUGAACUGCCUGAUGACUUUGACCCAAGUGGAAAACUUCCAGGAUCAUUUGACGAUGGUGAUCCACAAACUACAAAUCUUUAUGUUGGAAAUCUUUCACCCAAGGUUGAUGAAAAUUUUCUGCUCCGCACUUUUGGAAGAUUUGGACCUAUUGCUAGUGUGAAGAUUAUGUGGCCUAGGACAGAGGAGGAGCGAAGGCGGCAAAGAAAUUGUGGCUUUGUUGCUUUCAUGAACAGAGCUGAUGGGCAGGCUGCAAAAGAUGAAAUGCAAGGAGUUGUGGUUUAUGAGUAUGAAUUGAAAAUUGGAUGGGGAAAGUCUGUUGCCCUCCCAUCGCAAGCACUACCUGCACCUCCACCAGGCCAUAUGGCAAUCAGGAGUAAGGAGGGUAGUACUGUGAUCCUGUCUGGCCCUUCUGGUCUGCCGGUGACAUCUGUGCCUAAUCAGAACUCUGAAUUGGUUCUAACUCCUAAUGUUCCGGAUAUAAUGGUUACACCUCCUGAGGAUGAACAUCUAAGGCAUGUCAUUGAUACAAUGGCUUUGUAUGUCCUUGAUGGAGGAUGUGCUUUUGAACAAGCUAUUAUGGAGAGGGGUCGUGGCAAUCCUCUUUUCAAUUUUUUGUUUGUUCUUGGCUCGAAGGAACAUACCUACUAUGUUUGGAGACUCUACUCAUUUGCUCAGGGUGAUACUCUUCAAAGAUGGAGGACUGAACCAUUUAUCAUGAUAACGGGUAGUGGAAGAUGGAUUCCUCCCCCAUUACCAACUUCAAAAAGUCCAGAACAUGAAAAGGAAUCUGGCACCACUCAUGCUGGAGGAAGAAGCAGGCGUGUGGAGCCUGAAAGAACACUGACCGAUGCACAGAGGGAUGAGUUUGAGGAUAUGCUGCGUGCUUUAACACUAGAGAGGAGCCAGAUAAAAGAGGCUAUGGGGUUUUCUUUAGAUAAUGCUGAUGCAGCCGGCGAGAUUGUUGAAGUUCUGACUGAAUCCUUGACACUUAAAGAAACCCCUAUUCCAACUAAAAUUGCAAGGCUUAUGCUUGUCUCUGAUAUUCUUCAUAAUAGUAGUGCUCCUGUAAGAAAUGCAUCAGCAUAUCGCACUAAGUUUGAAGCAACGUUGCCGGACAUAAUGGAGAGUUUUAAUGACCUGUACCGUAGCAUAAUGGGGCGGAUUACUGCUGAAGCCCUAAAGGAACGAGUGCUGAAAGUUUUGCAAGUGUGGGCCGACUGGUUUCUCUUUUCAGAUGCUUAUGUGAAUGGCCUAAGAGCCACUUUUCUUCGACCUGGGAACUCUGGGGUAAUACCAUUCCAUUCCAUAUGUGGUGAUGCUCCUGAGAUUGAGCAGAAGAUCACUUCUGAAGAUACAGUUUUUGGUGGCAAGACCAACCAAGAUGCUGCAUUGGCAAUGGGUCGAGGAGCUGCAAUGCAGGAGCUAAUGAAUCUUCCUCUUGCUGAGCUGGAAAGACGGUGCCGACACAAUGGAUUGUCACUUGUUGGGGGUAGAGAAAUGAUGGUUGCACGCUUGCUAAGUCUUGAAGAGGCAGAAAAGCAAAGAGGUUACGAACUAGAUGACGAAUUGAAAUAUGCCCACAACCAAGUGAGUUCAGGGAAAUAUUCAAGUAAUCAGGGAGAAACAAGUGCUGAGCCUGAACCAGUAGGACUGUCUGGAUGGAACCAUUAUGGGGAUGAAGAUUUGCCGUCACAGGGCAAAGGGUCUGUGUCUUUAGCCCCAACCAUUCCUAUUCCACAGCCUGAACUUAAAGCCUUCACAAAAAAGGAGAAGAAUGAUCCAGUUUUGCCUGCCUCUAAAUGGGCCCGGGAGGAUGAUGAGAGUGACGAUGAACAAAGGAGAAGUGGAAAAAAUCUUGGCUUAAGCUACUCAUCUUCUGGUAGUGAGAAUGUUGCUGAUGGUCCUAUUAAAGCUGAUGAAUUGGAGUCUGCUGCUGAUACAAGUUUUUCAGCUCAUGCUGACAGUGGAAUGAAUGAAGAGCAAAGGUUGUAUUGUAUUUUGCCUUAAUUGCUGUCCCCUUCAUUCUUUUCAGUACCAGAUGGAGUUAUUAGUAGGUUGCCUAUGAACCUGAUCAUGUUGUUUCAUUCUGCCAGCAUAUACUGUCUUUUCACAGUUUGUGUUUCCGUUUAUAUUUGAUAGUGGUGGUUUUAACUUUCUAUCCCCUAAACUAUUCAAGUCCGUAUUUUUUUUCCUUGGAUAUAGCCUGUAGAAGGAUUUUUAUUUACAUCAUAUCUGGUGUCUGCUAAUGGAGCAUGUUAUGAACUGUUGUACAGGCAAAAGCUGAGACGCUUGGAGGUUGCUUUAAUUGAAUAUCGUGAGUCUCUUGAAGAAAGGGGAAUUAAAAAUUUGGAGGAAAUUGAGAAGAAAGUUUUGGCACAUAGGAAACGGCUGCAAGUGGAGUAUGGGCUAUCAGAUUCUGUUGAAGAUGGUCGAGGCAAUAGAAGAUCUUCGGAGAGGAGAGAUAGGCAUGAUGUUUCAAGGAAACGGCACCGCAGCCGAAGUCCAAGUAGUAGUCCACAGCCAAAAUUAUCAGGUAAAGACAGAGAAAGAGAACAUGAUUUAGAAAGGGAUCAAGAGAGACAAAGAGAUAGAAGUUAUGAUUUUGACAGUGAUAGAGGAAGGGACCGGCACCGGGAAAAGAGUGGAAGCAGAGAGAGGGAUGAUCAUGAUAAGGAUAGAGGCCGAGACAGGGACAGGAGAAGACGGACCAAAUAAGAACAUUUCAGGUGUUCUAACAUUAGAGAUCUGUUAGCUUAAUGAUUUGCAGAUUGGUUUGUAAGAAUCUGGAGUACACUUGGCUUUUUGUAUCAUAGGGGGAAUAUCUAUGUGAUACCUAAGUGAAAGAUAGGGAUGAUCUGUCAGGAAAUUGUUACUAUAGACAAUUUGAAAAUGCCAGUGAGUUAAUUUUAAUUUGAUUUAAUCUUAAGAUUUUAAAUCUCGUUAAUUUUUCUGAGUGAAUUAAUGCAUGUUGCUGCACAAUGCAAUAUAAUCAA